AAUCAACGCUGGCGGCGUGCCUCAGACAUGCAAGUCGAACGCGAAAUUUCCCUUCGGGGAGAAAGUAGAGUGGCGCACGGGUGAGUAACACGUAGGUAAUUUGCCUUUGGGUGGGGAAUAACUCAGGGAAACUUGAGCUAAUACCGCAUAAUGCAGCGGCUCGACAUCGAGACAGUUGUUAAAGCGGGGGAGUUGGAGGCAAUCCGACCUCGCGCCUAAAGAGAAGCCUGCGGCAGAUUAGCUAGUUGGUAAGGUAAUGGCUUACCAAGGCGACGAUCUGUAACCGGCCUGAGAGGGCGGUCGGUCACACUGACACUGACAUACGGGUC
This 329-nucleotide ribosomal RNA is filed under the name uncultured bacterium. RNAcentral describes it as "bacterial SSU rRNA". It matches the Rfam family "Bacterial small subunit ribosomal RNA", at positions 32 to 332 of the family's 1533-position model. The record is from RNAcentral.